This 460-nucleotide ribosomal RNA is filed under the name uncultured bacterium. RNAcentral describes it as "partial 16S ribosomal RNA". It matches the Rfam family "Bacterial small subunit ribosomal RNA", at positions 338 to 795 of the family's 1533-position model. The record is from RNAcentral.
CCUACGGGAGACUGCAGUGAGGAAUAUUGGUCAAUGGGCGGAAGCCUGAACCAGCCAAGUAGCGUGAAGGAUGAAGGCCCUAUGGGUUGUAAACUGCUUUUAUACGGGAAUAAAGCGACUUACGUGUAGAUCUUUGCAUGUACCGUAUGAAUAAGGAUCGGCUAAUUCCGUGCCAGCAGCCGCGGUAAUACGGAGGGUGCGGGCGUUAUCCGGAAUUACUGGGGUUAAAGGGCGCGUAGGCGGGAUAGCAAGUCUGCUGUGAAAUCCCAGGGCUCAACCCUAGCCGUGAAUUGCAAACGGUCAUUCUUGAGUCUGCGUAAAGUAGGUGGAAUUCGUGGUGUAGCGGUGAAAUGCGUAGAGAUCACGAGGAACCCCGAUUGCGAAGGCAGCUUGCUGGAGCGUAACUGACGCUGAUGCGCGAAAGCGUGGGUAUCGAACAGGAUUAGAUACCCCUGUAGUC